CAUUUCUAUACAUUCCCCAAACGUUUAUGCAGCAACUUAAAGGCCAGUCACUGCUUAAUGCUUUACGGAUAUUAACUCGUGGAAUCAACCGAGCAAUCCAAUUUAUAGAUAACAACAUUGAAGCCCAGAGAAGUUAAAUAACUUGCCUGGGGUCACGGAGAAGGUGGCAGACCUGGCCCUCACACCAGGCAGCCCAGUCCCAGAGGCCUGUCUUCCCGGCUCCGCUGCUGAUUACUGAACUCAGAAAGUGCCAGGCCUGUGCUAAGGGUAUUCGUGCUAGCAACAGAUCCUCCCAUCUCACCUAUGACGUGAGUGCUAUUCUGCACACAGGAGGAAACCGAGGUAUGGAAAGGCACAGCGACUUACCCGGAACACUAGUAAACAGUAAAGCAGGGAUCUGAGUGCAGAAGGAGGUUUUUAGCCUCUUCUGAUAAGAACAUAUGAUAAGAACAAAUUCUGUACGUGCUCAUAGCCAGUACCAACAACCAGAUGCACAUGCUCAGUGUGAGCCAGGCCCUGACACCUGCUGCUUCCUGCAUCCUCAGGUGAGUUCUACUACCACCUUCAUCUGCCAACAUGGAAACAAAGGCUCAGAGAGGUCAGGUUGCUUGCCCAAAGCCAUGCGGCUAAUAAUUAAUGCCCAGACUCAAAUCCAAGAGCAUCCACUGUGUAGCAGACUGCCUUUGGUGACCCUCCACGUCGCUCCCCGUACAGAUCCCACCCCACACUCACUCUGGUCUGUGCCAGAGCUGCCUUUGACCAAUGGAAUGUGGGGAAAAUGACACAGUGCUGUUCCAGGCCUUGCCCGUGAAUGGCCUGCAGCUUCUGCUUCCUCCCUCCUGGAAAUCUGGCUUUUGGGAGCUCUGAGUCACCAUGUGAGAAACCCAGCUACCCUUGGUUUAGUCACCUCUGUAAAGCCCCCUUUGCUGUGUAAGGUAACAUACUCAACAAGUUAGGGACUGGGAUGUGGCCGCUGGCGGAAGUGGGGCAUGAUGCUGCUGCCUGUGAGUGCUACACUACAAUAAGGACCAGCAUGCUCUGACGGGAUAAGCAGAAACCAGCUGGAACCUGCCAGCUGCCCUGAGACAUCCCAUAGCUCCUCUGGAAGUGUCAGCAAGUGCCCUUUGCAAGAGCUGCCUCAACCUGCCUGGCAACAUCAACCUCCUUUAUUUAUUUCUCCCCUGGAAAUCUUUGUUUAAAAAGAUCCUUGCCUCCGCGACAUGCAACAUAGUGCAUGCAUCAUCAAUGAGUUCCGCUUUGGGGAUUUGCUGAUCUUCCCUCAGGCAGAUGCACCUACCACUCCAGCCUCUCCUGUGAGAACAUGCACAGCCGGGCCUACUCUGCUGAGCGAACCCAGCCAAAGGCACAGUCGCUAGAUGUGCUUGCUGGUCAGCUCGGGAGGCCUGAUCUGGGAGAGCACAAAGAUGCUACUGGCUCUGGGAAAUUCUAAUCACACAGGCUGGGGGCCACAGCGAAGGGCCAUUAGCAGUGUUAAGAUAAUAACAACACAAUAAAAAAAGUGUAAAGAUUAAAGUCAGUGUGCUCCAACACCUAAUAGCAUCUCCAGCUAAAACUGUCCCAGACUGAGCUCCCGGUCCUUUCUGUGAAACCUGCCCCUCCUCCAGUCUGCCAUGUCCCACCCAAUCCACAGGAAAUCCUGCGGCUCUACCCUCCAAACAAAUCUCCUGGUUAUUCACUACUAAGGGGAAAAGGAAAGGUUCUCUCAGUGCUCACUACCUUAACCAAGGGAUCCAAGUUAGCGUCACAAAUGACGGAAGUGACGGACAGCAGGAGCCCCCUGAGGUGAUGUCCUUAGGACACACCAGCAAAUCUGUGGUGUUACUGCCAAAGAUGCUCGACGGGAACCCGAUCAGAGGAAACGAUCAGAAAACUCCAGAUUGUGGGACACUCUAAGGGGCAACUGGCUUGGACUCUUCCAAAUGUCAUGAAAAACGAGAAAGGACAGGGAUGCUGUUACAGAGCAGGGUCAGCAAACAUUUUCUGUAAAGGGCCACAGAGUAAAUAUUUUAGAUUUGUGGGCCACACGAUACGCAAAAAUAUGUGAUUAUGGUUAGCAACUGUACUGGUAACCAUACCAUAUUUUGAUUUCUCCAAUUGUCCCCCAAAUGCCCUUUGUACUGCUUAUUAUUUUUUUUUAAUCUAGAGUCUACUCGAGGAUCAUGCACUGCAUUUGAUUAUCAUGCCUCUUUGGUAUUCUUUAAUCUACGGCAAGGCUCAGCAAUCCUGCCCACUGCCUGCCUUUGUAAAUAAAGUUUUAUUGAAAUACAACCAUACGCAUUUGUUUGCCCACAGGCCCUGCAUGAUCUGCCUGCCCUUCUUAUCACCACCGGUUUUCCCUCUGCCCUCGGUCCCCACUUAGUCUCUCUGCUCAGCUACGAUGGCCUCGCUGUUGGCCAAACGUGCCACGCUCACUCUCUCCUGCCUUCAAACACUCCUUCUGCAUCCCUGAUGUUUUCUCCAAAGCAGUUAUUAUUAUCUAAUAUACUUAAUAUUUUAAUUAGUGAUUUUGUUUAUUGUCUGGCUUCCCUUACCCCGAGAAUUAAAGUCCCUGAGGACAAGAUUUUUUGCCUUUUCUUUUCUGCUGUAUCCACAUGUACACAAUAGCCACAAUUUAGUGCCAACCUCUGACUUAACACCGUAUAUCCAUUUAUUCCUCACAAUAUAAAAAUUAUUCAUAGCAUAAAUGCAUAUAUAAUAUACAGUACACAAAAUGGGAUUAAUGACAGUAUCAAUCUCAUAAUAAUUUGUGAGGAUUCAAUGCUAGAAGCCCUGUGAAGUGCUUACCACACACUGUGGUACAAAGCAUGUGCCCAUUCAAUGUUCCUAUUAUAUAGUGCCCACUCUGCAGAAGAAGAAACUGAAGCUUAGAGGGGUUAAGUGACCUGCCCAAGCUACCCAAAUGGGAAGGGGUGGGGCCCAGAAUGGAACCCACGUCAGUCUAACUCGAGAAGCCACUUUGUACACCACAGUGCUAAGACAUAUCACGGCUUGAGAACAAGGCAGUGGCAGGAAACAGAAACCAGCUCUGGGAAUCCACAGCACGGGAUUUCAGUCCUGCCUCUGGCACAAACUCACAUGCGACCUCAGCAAUUCACUUCUGUCUCAAGGCCUGCGUUUUCUCUUCUAUAAACUGGGGAAAGUCAUUUCCCCUCCAUGACAUGGGGAUAAAAUGAGAUAGGUGACAUGAAAGGACUUGGUAACUGUGCAAACCAACACUCUUCCAAUCUAAGAUGUGCAGCACUGGCAGAGAGUUCACCAAACACCAAUGGAUUAAGAAUUUUAGGCCCUGGAAUGCAAACUUUAAACACCCAAAUUUAUAAGGAAAAAAACGUGUAUUCCUCUUAACCAUUUGGCCUUUGUAUGUGUCCCUCCUUCUUCCUCCACGUCAUCCUUGUCCCCGUGUUGUCUGGUGAGGCUCUCCUCACCCUUCAGGUUCCAGCUCAGAGGUCUCCUCUGCCAAGAAGCCCUUCCUGAACCCCAAGCCAGGUCAGGCAUCCAGUGGGCUCUUCCAUCCCAGCUCUGCUCAUUUUAGGUCAUCACUCUUGCAGGAUGGGUCUGUCCCCACUAGACUGUGAGCUCCUUGAGGGCACAGACUGAGGUGAUUUGGUCCCUGCUGUUUCACCGACACUGCCCAGCACAAGGCCAGGCAGAGCUGAUGCUCAGAAAAUACUAGCUAAAUGAAGUGAUGGAUGGAUAGAUGAAUGGUGGUUCUCUGAUCCAGCAAAUUACUUUAAAUGUCCUUAUUUUAUGCUGACAUAGACCUAUAGCAUAUAGUUCAUCUUUUAAAAGUAGCUCGUUAUUUUGAGUGUGUACUAUGCCCUUCAGAUCUCAGCUUGGGCUGCCCUCCUCUAGACAGCCUUCCUGGCACCAUGCCCCUGGAUCAGAUGGCCUCUCUGAGAUCCGAAGUUCCCACCACCCUGACCACUCUGGCUUGACGGGUCAUGAGUGUGUCUCCCAGCACUCAGCAAAGCGCCAGCACAGUAUGUCUACUGAAUGGAUGGACGAAUAAACACGAUGUGUCACUGGAUUAAUGAAUAGAUGAAUGAAUGUUCGCUCUGAUUAAAACCACCCUUUUGCCAGAUUCCCAGGCCACGUCCCCGGACCCCAACUUCGCCCUGAGCCACACUUCUAAGCCAGGCCUCCUUCCCGGAGUAUAACUGGGGCAAACCGAUGUCCUAAACGGAUGAUGUACAAGGACCUCUCACCUCCAAGACGGGAGGAAAACUGAGGCACGAGAUGGAGUUAGGGAAGCUCAGGCACCAAAGGAUGGCCUGGCAAAUGACCCCGUCUGGUCCCUCCUCAGCUCGGCCCCUAGCUCCACUCUGUCCUGGAAUACCUCGCCCAAAUUACUCUCGUCCCCCACACUAUUGGCUCGCCUAGACAUCAGUCUCCAUGCGCUCUCUUCCUCUAUUGGCCAGUAUUUUCAACACGGGAGCGGGCGCUCUGCCCCACCCCUUAGGACAAACCCGUCCUUACGAUUGGACUACCCGCAUGCCCUUAUCCCAGGAACCCUCCCUAUUGGCUGCAAGACUUUGCCGGUUCGAGCUGUGAUUGGUCGUGAACCCGGAGCAACCACCUAAGAGGGGUUGGAGAAUGGAAAGGUUGGAGGGACACGGGGUCAGACUCACGCUGAGCCGGCGGGAGGCAGAUAUAGGUCUUGAAGAACUCGCUUCGGCGGGCGGCCUCCUUCAUGCGGUUGGCAAGCGGCUUGCUGAUCUGCCGGAUGCCCAAACACGGAGAAGGGGCCCAGAGAGGCUGGGUCACUUCCCACGAGGGACCUGCUGUGCAGUCUUGGACUUCUCCCUUCCCCCACCUGGGCCAACAGCAAGGCAGUGAUGGAACCAGAACCGGAACCCUGGCUGGAGCCAGCCUCCCACUCCUAACCCGGGGCACCCCAUUCUGGACCGUGCUGUCGAUGGUGAUAGUAACAGCUGGAGCUUACGAGUCCUACUUCCUAGCAGACCCUGUUCUAAGCACUUUAAUGGGUAUAAAUUCAUUAAAAUUUAUUGAACCGCGU
This is a long non-coding RNA of Pteropus alecto (black flying fox), 5038 nucleotides long. RefSeq lists it as uncharacterized. The transcript is spliced from 2 exons. The record is from RefSeq and is a predicted model, not a curated record. NCBI's taxonomy places the organism in Eukaryota, Metazoa, Chordata, Mammalia, Chiroptera, Pteropodidae.